GUCGAAAGGGCAACAGCCCAGAUCGUCAGCUAAGGUCCCUAAAUGUAAGUUAAGUGGUAAAGGAUGUGGGAUUGCACAGACAACCAGGAUGUUGGCUUAGAAGCAGCCACUCAUUCAAAGAGUGCGUAAUAGCUCACUGGUCGAGUGAUCCUGCGCCGAAGAUUUCCGGGGCUAAAACUUACUACCGAAGCUACGGCAUCAGUAAUGAUGGGUAGGGGAGCUUCCCAUACGGGUUGAAGCAUGACCGUAAGGACAUGUGGACAGUAUGGGAGUGAGAAUGUUGGCAUGAGUAGCGAGAUGUGGGUGAGAAUCCCACAGGCCGUAAACCCAAGGUUUCCAGGGGAAGGUUCGUCCGCCCUGGGUUAGUCGGGACCUAAGCUGAGGCCGAAAGGCGUAGGUGAUGGACAACAGGUUGAUAUUCCUGUACUACCGAUAACCGUUUGAGAGAAGGGAUGACACAGUAGGAUAAGCUAAGCACACUGUUGGUUAUGUGUGCCCAAGCAUUGAGGCAGUCAAAGUAGGCAAAUCCGCUUUGAUAAUGCUGGGAUGUGAUG
This 554-nucleotide ribosomal RNA is filed under the name Pseudomonas aeruginosa. Its description in RNAcentral is "partial 23S ribosomal RNA". It matches the Rfam family "Bacterial large subunit ribosomal RNA", at positions 1010 to 1568 of the family's 2925-position model. Lineage: Bacteria; Pseudomonadati; Pseudomonadota; Gammaproteobacteria; Pseudomonadales; Pseudomonadaceae. The record is from RNAcentral.